AGAGUUUGAUCCUGGCUCAGAUUGAACGCUGGCGGCAUGCCUUACACAUGCAAGUCGAACGGUAACAGGUCUUCGGACGCUGACGAGUGGCGAACGGGUGAGUAAUACAUCGGAACGUGCCCAGUCGUGGGGGAUAACUACUCGAAAGAGUAGCUAAUACCGCAUACGAUCUGAGGAUGAAAGCGGGGGACCUUCGGGCCUCGCGCGAUUGGAGCGGCCGAUGGCAGAUUAGGUAGUUGGUGGGAUAAAAGCUUACCAAGCCGACGAUCUGUAGCUGGUCUGAGAGGACGACCAGCCACACUGGGACUGAGACACGGCCCAGACUCCUACGGGAGGCAGCAGUGGGGAAUUUUGGACAAUGGGCGAAAGCCUGAUCCAGCAAUGCCGCGUGCAGGAUGAAGGCCUUCGGGUUGUAAACUGCUCUUGUACGGAACGAAAAAGCUUCUCCUAAUACGAGAGGCCCAUGACGGUACCGUAAGAAUAAGCACCGGCUAACUACGUGCCAGCAGCCGCGGUAAU
Molecule: ribosomal RNA, 519 nt
Filed under: uncultured bacterium
Lineage: Bacteria
Description: bacterial SSU rRNA
Rfam family: Bacterial small subunit ribosomal RNA
Source: RNAcentral